Molecule: ribosomal RNA, 210 nt
Filed under: Metarhizium cylindrosporum
Lineage: Eukaryota; Fungi; Ascomycota; Sordariomycetes; Hypocreales; Clavicipitaceae
Description: partial large subunit ribosomal RNA
Source: RNAcentral
AAGCGCUUAUGACCAGACUUGGACCCGGUGAAUCAUCCAGCGUUCUCGCUGGUGCACUUUGCCGGGCUCAGGCCAGCAUCAGUUUGCCUUGGGGGAUAAAGGCUUUGGGAAUGUGGCUCCCUCGGGAGUGUUAUAGCCCAUUGCACAAUACCCUGGGGCGGACUGAGGUUCGCGCAUCUGCAAGGAUGCUGGCGUAAUGGUCAUCAGCGA